GUGCAGAAAAUCGCUCAAGACACUUCCCCCGACUCAUCCAUCGGACUUCGGUGUGCAUUUGUAAAUCCACACCCUAAGUCACCAAGUCCGUAACAUGGUUAAAGUUCAGUGUCUUGGCGCAGAGGGCCUCCUGUAGGAAUAAAUAAAGUAACCCUUAAAAUGUCCCUAUGUUUGUCCUGCAUGUCACCCAAAAUCAAUAGGACUACUCCCUCCCCUGGUGUAUGAUACAGGGCAUUAUAGGGCAGUUCACUCCGCUUUGUUGAAGCAGCCCUGCGAAUCCGGUGCGUCUCCCCUGCAUCGCUGGUGCGCCGUCCGUAACAACAGCCGAUAGUUUGUCCAAGCCACGUUAAUGCAACACUACUAACGGCGUUGAAUAUAUCCUUGGUGGUAUCGUGCAAAGACACCAUCUUUAGUAACUCCUCGUGCACUUCAACCGAACGGUCAACGGUUCUUGUGAAAAUCAGCAGCUGGCUGACGUCCAUCACAUCUGUACUUUCAUCCAAGGCCAGGGAGAAGUACUUGCAGUCAUGCAUAACCUGUUUCAUCUUCCCCUCGACAUGAUCAUUAAUGUCAAAAAUUCUACGAGUCACUGUGCGACGAGACAAAGAGACCGUAUCAACAUUUUAACCAGGUUAGCGUCACCAAACGCUCUGGCCGCUUCCACGGCACAUCUCUUCACAAUCUCGCCAUCGGACAAGGGCUUCUUUGCUUUAGCGCGCGCAAGCGCAACAGCAUUCGGCGCCGUGAGUGCAGCCUCCUGUGUGGUUGUGGCUCUGGUAAAAGAAAAUUCUGUUGUUUGUGUACUUUUGAUUUGAGGUCGGCAAUGAGAGCAGCCCUGGCAGCUUCAGUAUACUUCUCGUAUUUAACCUUGUGCAAGGUGUUGUAGUGGCGACUUAGGUUGAAAUCUUUCAUGGCUGAUAACGUCUCCAAGCAAACUAGGCACAUGGGUUUGCCUUUAAAUUCAGUGAACAGAUGAUCCACUUCCCAUUUCACCUGAAAGACACAAUUUUCUUGAUCGAGUUUUCUCUUUCUGCGUCUGCAUAGCAAGCGCCAUCUAGCGGUGGACUCUGAUAUUACAACUAAAAAGUGAUCGGGCGCUGUAGAGGACACACUUAUAAUUUUCAGAAAUGAAUCCAGGGGCCACUCCGAAUGAGCGCGAGGGCCGCCAGUUGCCCAUCCCUGUUCCAAGUGACUGUGAGAUGGUAAGUUGGAUGUUUCUUUUAAAGCAGCAGCAAUAAAUGCUCUGAAUCCCUGAUGUUCGGCUCAGCGCAGCCGAGGAGACGAGUUGGGAGAGACAAGUUGAGAAUGCAGCUUAGUUGUGUGGAGCAUCACAUGUGGAGGAGACAGAACUACAUUCCAGAUGUUCUAUGAUGAUGACGGCUCAAUUGUUUUCACCUUGUUCUCCCGUCCUAAAGGGGCCAAAAAAACAGACUCAAAAACAGACACAAAAACAACAAAUGAUCAUAACACAAUGAAAAGAUAUGUAAAUCCAUAUGAAAUACUCUGAGUGUUUUAUUUCUUAUCUACAUUGAGAAUUGUAUUGCUCGUGUGUGUCUCACAUUGCAUAUUGAAAUGGUCCAUCAAUCGUUGGCUUCUAAUCACACAGCUUUGUAAACUCUCUGGAGGCUCUCCAAUGAGGAGGAGGGACUGAAUGAAUGAAGAAACAAUG
Long non-coding RNA from Gasterosteus aculeatus aculeatus (three-spined stickleback), 1669 nucleotides. Lineage: Eukaryota; Metazoa; Chordata; Actinopteri; Perciformes; Gasterosteidae. The record is from Ensembl.